GUAGCUGGCUGAGUUAGUCCCUUGUUAAAUCCACCGAAUUAAUCGUUGGAUUGCGGGGGAUACUGCUCGGCUAGGGGACGAGAGAGGCAGACGGUAUUUCUGGGGUAGGGGUGAAAUCCUAUAAUCCCAGGAGGACCACCAGUGGCGAAGGCUGUCUGCUAGAACGCAGCCCGACGGUGAGGGAUGAAAGCUGGGGGAGCGAACCGGAUUAGAUACCCGGGUAGUCCCAGCUGUAAACGAUGCAGACUAGGUGUUUGGACGGCCACGUGCCGUUCUAGUGCCGCA
Molecule: ribosomal RNA, 285 nt
Filed under: uncultured archaeon SYA_2000_60
Lineage: Archaea
Description: partial 16S ribosomal RNA
Rfam family: Archaeal small subunit ribosomal RNA
Source: RNAcentral